UCCACCUCGCUGCCCCCACGCACCCCCUGUGCAGGGGAAACUUUCUCUUUCCCCUCCACUCGCCCCGCUUACGGGAACCCCCUAACGGGGCAAGAGGGCGGCAGCAGCAGCGUUCUUCCGGAUCUGGGUGGUGUGAGCGCGGUCAUGUUCCGGGACUCGGCGCGGGAGUGCGAGAGUUCGUGCAGCGGCUCCCCGGCAGCGUCGCCAUACCUGUCCCCCGCCUCCAGCUCCUCCUCCAGCUCCUCCUUCUCCUGCAGCCCCGCCCUCCCACAAGGCGCACAGGACUUCUCGCUGCCCUUCGUGCCGACCCUCACCGCCGUGGCGAGCAGCCCCGACCUCCGCUGGAUGGUCCAGCCCAGCGUCAUCACCUCCGCGGCGCGGCCCCCCGGGCCCCCCAUGGGCUACGCGCAUCAUCAGCCUCGUCAACAUCAGCAGCUUCAUCAUCAUCAGCCUCAUCAUCAUCAGCAGCAACAGCAGCUGCAACACGCUCUGCAGGGGGUUCCAUCGCGUCCGGGCGUCAUCCGCAUCGUGGCCUCGGCGCCCACGCGGAGAAAGAGGCCCGCAGAGGAGCUCAACCCCGAGGAGGACGAGAAGCGGAGAGUGCGGAGGGAGCGGAACAAACAAGCGGCGGCGAAAUGUCGACAUCGGCGUCGUGAGCUCACGGACACCUUGCAGGCGGAGGCCGACAAGCUGGAGGAGGAGCGCUCGGCGCUGCAGUCCGACAUCCGCCUCCUGCAGAAGGAGCGCGAGGACCUGGAGAGCGUCCUCAGCGCACACCGCGCGCUCUGCCGCCUGCCCCCCUCCACCGAGGAACCCGACGGCUCCCCGACUCCUGCAGGAGACCCCCAGGACCUCCUGGAAGAGCAGCGGCAGCAGGAGCGGCGGCGGCGGCGAGGGGAUACCCCCCGGGGUCCCGACCCGACCCCCCUCGUCGCCGUGAAGCUGGAGCCCACGGAACUUGCGGAUGAGGUGGCGAGGAACCGCGCGUCGCGUCUCUCCUCGCCCGAGCACCCGGGCGGGGAGUCCCACUCGUGCGCCACCUCCUACCGGCGCGGCAGCGCGGGUGGCGGCCAGGGCAGCCUGAGGAGCGCCGGUCGGGGCGAAGCGGCGGCGGGCGCGCUCGGGUCGCGAACGCUGCUGGCGCUCUAGCGAGGAGAGGGGGGGGGGGUACACGGGGGGGGGGGGGGUGUCGCGUUUACACGAGUCGAGUGCAGCAGGGCUUCUUAGUUUCAGCUGGGGCUGAGCUGCGGAAAAUAUUUCAUGAGAAAUGAAGCCUUUGCCUGGAUGUGUGGUGGUGAUGAUGAUGGCGCGGUGGUGUUGUUUUAUAAUGGAGACGAAUUAUUGAGAAGUGUGGUGGGGGAGGGGGGGCAAAGCGCCUCCUCGCUCAAAGUCAGGGCCGGCGGUCGAGACGCGUGACGGAGUGGCAGCCGAGGGAUGAAACGCGUCAGUGAGGUUCUACCACCGGGGAGGAGAUGGAGCGAUGAAAUCCCGCCCCCCCUCCUCCCCUCCUCCGUUGUGGGUUUCUCUCGGUGGAUUGUUACAUCGCCGGAUCGUGAGAGGUGGGGACGGCAGCUCGGGGGAGGCGUUCAUCCAGCGGUGGAUUGAACAUGGCCGGUGAUUAUUUGCUGUAACAAUCACAAUCACGCGUCGCCGUCUGUUUGUAAAGCUAAAAGGGAGAACGCAUUCCAAAGGCCAAACUUCUGACCUGUUCGUGCAGUGCGUGUGCGCGUUUGUUUUCUAUGUAAUACGUUAUGUAGUGUACGCUUAAUUUGCUUACAAGCGGGGAGGGAGAGAGGUGGGGGGGGGGGUCAUAAUCUUUAUUGAUGAAUGAUGGCGGCAAUGAGGAGUCUCGUGCUGAUUGGAGUGAAUUAGUCAUCCGUGCGGAGGAGAUAGCGCACCGAUUCUAGGGGCGCGUGCUGAGUCAGCGGGGCUGACGCCGUUUCGCCUGACGACUGGAAGACGGACGGGAUAGUGGUGGGGGGCCGUGGCGUAUGAUGAUUACCGUAUUCUCUACAGUAUAAAGACCCCCCCCCUGUAUUUGAAAGCAAAGGCUGUGGUAGGGGACCGUGGCGUAUGAUGAUUACCGUAUUCUCUACAGUAUACAGACCCCCCCCCCCUGUAUUUGAAAGCAAACGCAGUGGUGGGGGACCGUGGCGUAUGAUGAUUACCGUAUUCUCUACAGUAUACAGACCCCCCGCCCCUGUAUUUGAAAGCAAACGCUGUGGUGGGGGACUGUGGCGUAUGAUGAUUACCGUAUUCUCUACAGUAUAAAGACCCCCCCCCCCCUGUAUUUGAAAGCAAAGGCUGUGGUGGGGGACUGUGGCGUAUGAUGAUUACCGUAUUCUCUACAGUAUACAGACCCCCCCCCUGUAUUUGAAAGCAAACGCUGUGGUGGGAGACUGUGGCGUAUUAUGAUUACCGUAUUCUCUACAGUAUAAAGACCCCCCCCCCCCUGUAUUUGAAAGCAAACGCUGUGGUGGGGGACCGUGGCGUAUGAUGAUUACCGUAUUCUCUACAGUAUAAAGACCCCCCCACCCUGUAUUUUGAAAGCAAACGCUGUGGUGGGGGACUGUGGCGUAUGAUGAUUACCGUAUUAUCUACAGUAAAAAGACCCCCCCCCCCGUAUUUGAAAGCAAACGCUGUGGUGGGGGGCCGUGGCGUAUGAUGAUUACCGUAUUCUCUACAGUAUACAGACCCCCCGCCCCUGUAUUUGAAAGCAAACGCUGUGGUGGGGGACCGUGGCGUAUGAUGAUUACCGUAUUCUCUACAGUAUACAGACCCCCCCCCCUGUAUUUGAAAGCAAACGCUGUGGUGGGGGACCGUGGCGUAUGAUGAUUACCGUAUUCUCUACAGUAUACAGACCCCCCCCCUGUAUUUGAAAGCAAACGCUGUGGUGGGGGACCGUGGCGUAUGAUGAUUACCGUAUUCUCUACAGUAUACAGACCCCCCCCCCCCUGUAUUUGAAAGCAAACGCAGUGGUGGGGGACCGUGGCGUAUGAUGAUUACCGUAUUCUCUACAGUAUACAGACCCCCCGCCCCUGUAUUUGAAAGCAAACGCUGUGGUGGGGGACCGUGGCGUAUGAUGAUUACCGUAUUCUCUACAGUAUACAGACCCCCCGCCCCUGUAUUUGAAAGCAAACGCUGUGGUGGGGGACUGUGGCGUAUGAUGAUUACCGUAUUCUCUACAGUAUAAAGACCCCCCCCCUGUAUUUGAAAGCAAACGCUGGGGUGCGUCUUGUAAUACGGUAGCUGUGUGUAAGACGAUGUUUGUGGAACGGUAAUGGCACCGAGGGACACAGGUUUGGAGUGCGUCUCACUUUUUUGUCGGCGACUCUUGUAAUGCAGAGAACACGAUCAUUCUUAGGCACGUUCACGAUGUGGCAAUUGAUCGAUUGGAAUCGAUUCGCGAGAUACGUGGAACCGAAUGGCGCGAGUGUAGAAUGUCUUAAAGAGCGUGCAGUGUUUAGAAUGUAUGCGGAUGUCUUUGCUGAUGCUACGUAGUAUACAGUUCUCGUGCAAGCGGACGAGUCCCCGGUGAGACUUGAUUUACAGAGAAAAAUGCAAACGAGACGAUACGAAACGAGUCCGGGAAACGUCCCCAGUGGGCGAAGAGGCUGUUGCAAUUGAGCGUUUCUAUUAAAUAGCUCUUCUGAGA
RNA transcript from Lethenteron reissneri (Far Eastern brook lamprey), 3655 nucleotides. It is a transcript of the gene named fos-related antigen 1-like, with no coding region annotated. NCBI's taxonomy places the organism in Eukaryota, Metazoa, Chordata, Hyperoartia, Petromyzontiformes, Petromyzontidae. The record is from RefSeq and is a predicted model, not a curated record.